This 253-nucleotide ribosomal RNA is filed under the name uncultured bacterium. Its description in RNAcentral is "partial 16S ribosomal RNA". It matches the Rfam family "Bacterial small subunit ribosomal RNA", at positions 524 to 776 of the family's 1533-position model. The record is from RNAcentral.
AACGUAGGGGACAAGCGUUAUCCGGAUUCACUGGGUUUAAAGGGUGCGUAGGUGGGUAGGUAAGUCAGUGGUGAAAUCUCCAAGCUUAACUUGGAAACUGCCGUUGAUACUAUUUAUCUUGAAUAUAGUGGAGGUGAGCGGAAUAUGUCAUGUAGCGGUGAAAUGCUUAGAUAUGACAUAGAACACCAAUUGCGAAGGCAGCUUGCUACACUACUAUUGACACUGAGGCACGAAAGCGUGGGGAUCAAACAGG